CAAGCGAGCCUGCGCUGGACAGCGGUGACGGGAACAUCAAGGAAUCAGCGCUUCAGAAGAGGGCCUCUCAGCAGGAGCCAUUUUCAAGGACUCCACCUUGAGACAGCACACCGUUGUGGAGACCACCUGGCCAGCAGACGUGGCUGGACCCCAUCAGGCCUCUCUACAAAUGGCAGAUCCUGGCGGGUGGGUGCAGAGACCUCCUCGCUGGGUGGUACCCAAGGCAAGCCUGGCAAGUUUUGGAGUGACAAGGCACUGUUACUGGAUCCCAGUGGCCAGGGCUCCUUGACAAGAGCGGGAACCAGCAUGGAGCCAGCUGUGGCAGGCGUGUCUGUGUAAGAGGCCAGGCUGAUACGGAAACACUGCCCGAGCCACAUCACAGGGGAAGAGAAAUGUGU
Molecule: long non-coding RNA, 398 nt
Organism: Neogale vison (American mink)
Lineage: Eukaryota; Metazoa; Chordata; Mammalia; Carnivora; Mustelidae
Exons: 3
Source: RefSeq, a predicted model, not a curated record